Molecule: long non-coding RNA, 245 nt
Filed under: Capsicum annuum
Lineage: Eukaryota; Viridiplantae; Streptophyta; Magnoliopsida; Solanales; Solanaceae
Description: long non-coding RNA (CANN_LNC008577)
Source: RNAcentral
CCCGCCUAACACCAUCCAACGCUAGCCUCUCACACCUACGGACCGGGGCAUCCAUGCCCCUCCUCUUCACGUGUCCGAACCAUCUCAAUCGUGUUUCCCGCAUCUUGAACUCCACUGAAGUCACACCAACCUUCUCCCGGAUAGUCUCAUUCCGAACUCUAUCCCCUCUAGUCAAUCCACACAUCCAGCGCAACAUCCGCAUUUCUGCCACCUUCAUUUUUUGGAUGUGGGAGUUCUUAACUGGC